CCUACGGGUGGCUGCAGUGGUGAAUAUUGCACAAUGGGCGAAAGCCUGAUGCAGCCAUGCCGCGUGUAUGAAGAAGGCCUUCGGGUUGUAAAGCACUUUCAGUUGUGAGGAAAGGGGUGUAGUUAAUAACUGCAUCCUGUGACGUUAGCAACAGAAGAAGCACCGGCUAACUUCGUGCCAGCAGCCGCGGUAAUACGAGGGGUGCAAGCGUUAAUCGGAAUUACUGGGCGUAAAGCGCACGCAGGCGGUUUGUUAAGCUAGAUGUGAAAGCCCCGGGCUCAACCUGGGAAUAGCAUUUAGAACUGGCAGACUAGAGUCUUGGAGAGGGGAGUGGAAUUCCAGGUGUAGCGGCGAAAUGCUUAGAUAUCUGGAGGAACAUCAGUGGCGAAGGCGACUCCCUGGCCAAAGACUGACGCUCAUGUGCGAAAGUGUGGGUAGCG
This 440-nucleotide ribosomal RNA is filed under the name uncultured bacterium. RNAcentral describes it as "bacterial SSU rRNA". It matches the Rfam family "Bacterial small subunit ribosomal RNA", at positions 338 to 770 of the family's 1533-position model. The record is from RNAcentral.